Molecule: ribosomal RNA, 563 nt
Filed under: uncultured bacterium
Lineage: Bacteria
Description: partial 16S ribosomal RNA
Rfam family: Bacterial small subunit ribosomal RNA
Source: RNAcentral
UGGGGAAUUUUGGACAAUGGGCGAAAGCCUGAUCCAGCAAUGCCGCGUGUGUGAAGAAGGCCUUCGGGUUGUAAAGCACUUUUGUCCGGAAAGAAAUCCUUGGCUCUAAUACAGUCGGGGGAUGACGGUACCGGAAGAAUAAGCACCGGCUAACUACGUGCCAGCAGCCGCGGUAAUACGUAGGGUGCAAGCGUUAAUCGGAAUUACUGGGCGUAAAGCGUGCGCAGGCGGUUUGCUAAGACCGAUGUGAAAUCCCCGGGCUCAACCUGGGAACUGCAUUGGUGACUGGCAGGCUAGAGUAUGGCAGAGGGGGGUAGAAUUCCACGUGUAGCAGUGAAAUGCGUAGAGAUGUGGAGGAAUACCGAUGGCGAAGGCAGCCCCCUGGGCCAAUACUGACGCUCAUGCACGAAAGCGUGGGGAGCAAACAGGAUUAGAUACCCUGGUAGUCCACGCCCUAAACGAUGUCAACUAGUUGUUGGGGAUUCAUUUCCUAGUAACGUAGCUAACGCGUGAAGUUGACCGCCUGGGGAGUACGGUCGCAAGAUUAAAACUUAAAUGAAUUG